UGGGGAAUAUUGGGCAAUGGGCGAAAGCCUGACCCAGCAACGCCGCGUGAAGGAAGAAGGCCCUCGGGUUGUAAACUUCUUUUAUGAGGGACGAAGAAGUGACGGUACCUCAUGAAUAAGCCACGGCUAACUACGUGCCAGCAGCCGCGGUAAUACGUAGGUGGCAAGCGUUAUCCGGAUUUACUGGGUGUAAAGGGCGUGUAGGCGGGACUGUAAGUCAGAUGUGAAAUUCCAGGGCUCAACCCUGGAACUGCAUUUGAAACUGUGGUUCUUGAGUGAUGGAGAGGCAGGCGGAAUUCCGUGUGUAGCGGUGAAAUGCGUAGAUAUACGGAGGAACACCAGUGGCGAAGGCGGCCUGCUGGACAUUAACUGACGCUGAGGCGCGAAAGCGUGGGGAGCAAACAGGAUUAGAUACC
RNAcentral lists this ribosomal RNA (416 nucleotides) under uncultured bacterium. RNAcentral describes it as "bacterial SSU rRNA". It matches the Rfam family "Bacterial small subunit ribosomal RNA", at positions 355 to 786 of the family's 1533-position model. The record is from RNAcentral.